UAUCUCUGCUUCUUAGUGGGUGUGAGAAGCAGGGCUGGGAACUGAGCCAGACUGCUGGUGAUUAGGGCCUCCUUGAAGGAAGGUAGACCUGAAGUGGGACUAUCCUUUAAUUUCAUUUGCAUCACCUCAUCUGUUGGUGCUGGGGUUGACUGCUGCCUUUCAGCAUCCCUCUGGGAAGCUCUGAAAAGGAAAUACUAGAUCUCCACAGAAGGAAAAGAUUGGAAGGCUCAUCUGGCCAUGGGGAGAAGGAGGCUGAAGGGGGCAGAGCAGGUAUUCUCUGGCAUGGCCUCAGACAGUAAGGAGGUUUCACCCAGGAAGAGGAGAUGAAUCCAAGAGAACUGGAGGACCUUUCCUUUAGGCAAAGGACUGAGACCAUGCCAAAGUACCCUUCAGUAAGAGGAGACACUAAAUCUGAAGGUUUGACAUGUAUAGCGAUGGAGCUUAUUAUGAGAUUACCAUUCCGCAGCAACAGACUGGAGACAAGAUCUCAAUGAGGUACAGAAGAACACAGACAAUAUAUGAAAAGAAUUCAGCUUCUAGAUGAGGUUAGCAUUGGCACAGCUGUAUGUUUAUAUCCAAUAGCUCAGGUAGCUUGGCAUUGUAGAGUGGAAUAGAAUCAAUGCUCAUUGGGUCUAUGCAG
Molecule: long non-coding RNA, 640 nt
Organism: Chelonia mydas (Green sea turtle)
Lineage: Eukaryota; Metazoa; Chordata; Testudines; Cheloniidae
Exons: 4
Source: RefSeq, a predicted model, not a curated record